Long non-coding RNA from Cervus elaphus (red deer), 92 nucleotides. RefSeq lists it as uncharacterized. NCBI's taxonomy places the organism in Eukaryota, Metazoa, Chordata, Mammalia, Artiodactyla, Cervidae. The transcript has 3 exons. The record is from RefSeq and is a predicted model, not a curated record.
UAUAGGUCAUUACAGAGUAUUAAGGAGAGUUCCUUGUGCUAUAUGGUAGGUUCUUAUUAAUUACCUAUUUUGUAUAUUGUAGUUUACAAAUG